Long non-coding RNA from Lolium rigidum, 699 nucleotides. RefSeq lists it as uncharacterized. Lineage: Eukaryota; Viridiplantae; Streptophyta; Magnoliopsida; Poales; Poaceae. The transcript has 2 exons. The record is from RefSeq and is a predicted model, not a curated record.
AUUCCGGGUGACUUGAGUUCUUCGGAGUGGCGAAAAUUUGAUCAUUAGUACUCCCUUGAACACCCACAAGCCAAAACCCCCGCCACAUACAGGAACGUAUACUGUUACCUGUUUGCGAGUCACUGCAGAAAGUGAGUUGUUUUGUAUUUCUUCCAACUGUUAUAUACUCCGUAUAAUUCCUUUUUCUGUAACUUCCUACAAAUCCACAGGACAUAUGUACCGGGCCAUACUUGAUGGAACACAUGCCAAAGCUUCAUAUUACAAUCUUGGCGCUGGGUAUAAUGGCAUAUGGACAUUGCUUUGGAGCAAGCGUAUUUGAUGUUCUAAUGAGAUGUCGUGGUCUAAAAAGGCUGGAUCUUGAUUUUCUGCCAAGAAGUCAACUCGGGGAACAAACUCCGUGCCCAUCAGGUUGCAUAUGUGAUCAGCAACCAAAAUGGAAAACAGAAGAGCUUGCGCUGAAUUGCCUCGAGGAAAUAGAAAUCCAUGACAUGAGGGGAACUGAACAUGAAGUUGCUCUUGUGCAGCGGUUAUUCCAUUGGGCAAUAGUACUCAAAAGGCUGAAAAUAGUUCUCCAUGAAUUAAUCACUGAAAGCAAGGCCAAAGAGCUCCGCCAGUUAUUACUGAACUUCUCUAGGCUAGAUAUAUGUAUCGAUAUUAGCACGUUUGUUCCAUAACACGUGGGCACCACUUUUUUUCUCA